RNAcentral lists this ribosomal RNA (585 nucleotides) under uncultured bacterium. RNAcentral describes it as "bacterial SSU rRNA". It matches the Rfam family "Bacterial small subunit ribosomal RNA", at positions 338 to 916 of the family's 1533-position model. The record is from RNAcentral.
CCUACGGGAGGCAGCAGUGGGGAAUUUUGGACAAUGGACGCAAGUCUGAUCCAGCAAUGCCGCGUGCAGGACGAAGGCCUUCGGGUUGUAAACUGCUUUUGUACGGAACGAAACGGUCUGCUUUAAUACAGUGGGCUAAUGACGGUACCGUAAGAAUAAGCACCGGCUAACUACGUGCCAGCAGCCGCGGUAAUACGUAGGGUGCGAGCGUUAAUCGGAAUUACUGGGCGUAAAGCGUGCGCAGGCGGUUAUAUAAGACAGAUGUGAAAUCCCCGGGCUCAACCUGGGACCUGCAUUUGUGACUGUAUAGCUAGAGUACGGUAGAGGGGGAUGGAAUUCCGCGUGUAGCAGUGAAAUGCGUAGAUAUGCGGAGGAACACCGAUGGCGAAGGCAAUCCCCUGGACCUGUACUGACGCUCAUGCACGAAAGCGUGGGGAGCAAACAGGAUUAGAUACCCUGGUAGUCCACGCCCUAAACGAUGUCAACUGGUUGUUGGGUCUUCACUGACUCAGUAACGAAGCUAACGCGUGAAGUUGACCGCCUGGGGAGUACGGCCGCAAGGUUGAAACUCAAAUGAAUUGACGG